UACGGAGGGUGCAAGCGUUAUCCGGAUUCACUGGGUUUAAAGGGUGCGUAGGUGGGCAGGUAAGUCAGUGGUGAAAUCUCCGGGCUUAACUCGGAAACUGCCAUUGAUACUAUCUGUCUUGAAUACCGUGGAGGUUAGCGGAAUAUGUCAUGUAGCGGUGAAAUGCUUAGAUAUGACAUAGAACACCAAUUGCGGAGGCAGCUGGCUACACGAAUAUUGACACUGAUGCACGAAAGCGUGGGGAUCAAACAGG
RNAcentral lists this ribosomal RNA (253 nucleotides) under uncultured bacterium. RNAcentral's name for it is "partial 16S ribosomal RNA". It matches the Rfam family "Bacterial small subunit ribosomal RNA", at positions 524 to 776 of the family's 1533-position model. The record is from RNAcentral.